AGGGGAUGCAAGAGAACCUGUAACCCGGGGUUACAAACUGUGGAAGCACGUUAAGGUGCAACCGCGUACUUUUUGUAGAACGGUCCGGCGAGUUGCGGAUGCUGGCGAGGUAAAGGAGUAAAGCUCCGGAGCCGAAGCGAGAGCGAGUCUCAAUAGGGCGUAAAGUCAGCAUGGGCAGACCCGUAACCGGGUGACCAAUCCAUGUCCAGGUUGAAGUUCCCGUAAAAGGGAAUGGAGGACCGUACGCACAUCCGUUGAAAAGGGUGGCGAUGAGGUGUGGAUAGGGGAGAAAUUCCAAUCGAACCCGGAGAUAGCUGGUUCUCCUCGAAAUAGCUUUAGGGCUAGCCUCGUAUUAGUUUAGCGGAGGUAGAGCACUGAAUUUCCUAGGGGGCGUCAAAGUCUACCGAAGAAUAUCAAACUCCGAAUGCCGCAUAAAUGAUGUACGGGAGUCAGACUGCACGAGAUAAGUUGGGUAGUCAAAAGGGAAAGAGCCCAGACCUACAGCUAAGGUCCCAAAGUGUGUGUUAAGUGGAAAAGGAUGUGGGAUUUCGAAGACAACUAGGAUGUUGGCUCAGAAGCAGCCACACAUUCAAAGAGUGCGUAAUAGCUCACUAGUCGAGAGGUCCUGCGCCGAAAAUGUCCGGGGCUAAAACACAACACCGAAGCUUAGGAAUGUAAUUAUACAUUGGUAGAGGAGCAUUCUUAAAGAGACGAAGCAGUACCGAUAAGGAGCUGUGGAUUUUUAAGAAGAGAGAAUGCCGGAAUGAGUAGCGAGAUGGAGGUGGGAAUCCUCCAGGCCGAAUAUCUAAGGUUUCCAGAGUAAAGCUGAUCUGCUCUGGGUAAGUCGGGGCCUAAGGCGAGGUCGAAAGACGUAGUCGAUGGAUAACAGGUUGAAAUUCCUGUACUGCAUAUCAUCAGAACUGUGGGGACACAGAGAGAUACCGGAACCUGGGAAUGAAGAUACCAGGGCAAGCGAGGUAGGUGCUAAGCUGGCAAAUCCGCUUAGUAAGCCGAAGACGUGAUGCGGAGCGAAUUAAAGUAGCGAAGUCCGGGAUUCGAGCUGUCGAGAAAAGCCGCUAUUGUGUGAUAUGUACCCGUACCGUAAACCGACACAGGUGGAUGAGGAGAGAAUCCUAAGGCCGGCGGGAGAAGCAUUGUUAAGGAACUCGGCAAAAUGACCCUGUAACUUCGGGAUAAAGGGUGCCACAGAGAUGUGGCCGCAGAGAAUAGGCUCAAGCAACUGUUUAGCAAAAACACAGGUCUAUGCGAAACCGAAAGGUGAGGUAUAUGGGCUGACGCCUGCCCGGUGCUGGAAGGUUACGAGGAGAGGUUAGAGCAAUCGAAGCUUUGAAUCUAAGCCCCAGUAAACGGCGGCCGUAACUAUAACGGUCCUAAGGUAGCGAAAUUCCUUGUCGGGUAAGUUCCGACCCGCACGAAAGGUUAAACGAUUUGAGCGCUGUCUCGACAAUGCACCCGG
RNAcentral lists this ribosomal RNA (1477 nucleotides) under human gut metagenome. Its description in RNAcentral is "bacterial LSU rRNA". It matches the Rfam family "Bacterial large subunit ribosomal RNA", at positions 533 to 2036 of the family's 2925-position model. The record is from RNAcentral.